CCUACGGGAGGCAGCAGUAGGGAAUUUUCGUCAAUGGGCGCAAGCCUGAACGAGCAAUGCCGCGUGAACGAGGAAGGUCUUCGGAUCGUAAAGUUCUGUUGAAGGGGAAAAAGAUCGGAGAGAGGAAAUGGUCUCCGAUUGAUAUUACCCUUCGAGGAAGUCACGGCUAACUACGUGCGAGCAACCGCGGUAAUACGUAGGUGGCGAGAGUUAGCCGGAUUGAUGGGGCGUAAGGGGUGCGUAGGCGGCCUGCUAAGUCUGGGGUGAAAGGUACCGGCUUAACCGGUACCGGCUCUGGAAACUGGCGGGCUAGAGAGCAGGAGAGGGCGGUGGAACUCCAUGUGUAGCGGGAAAAUGCGUAGAUAUAUGGAAGAACACCAGUGGCGAAGGCGGCCGCCUGGCCUGUUACUGACGCUGAGGCACGAAAGCGUGGGGAGCAAAUAGGAUUAGAUACCCCGGUAGUC
Molecule: ribosomal RNA, 464 nt
Filed under: uncultured bacterium
Lineage: Bacteria
Description: partial 16S ribosomal RNA
Rfam family: Bacterial small subunit ribosomal RNA
Source: RNAcentral